This 406-nucleotide ribosomal RNA is filed under the name uncultured bacterium. RNAcentral describes it as "partial 16S ribosomal RNA". It matches the Rfam family "Bacterial small subunit ribosomal RNA", at positions 30 to 526 of the family's 1533-position model. The record is from RNAcentral.
AUUGAACGCUGGCGGCAGGCCUAACACAUGCAAGUCGAACGAGUGGCGGACGGGUGAGUAAUGUCUGGGAAACUGCCUGGUGGAGGGGGAUAACUACUGGAAACGGUAGCUAAUACCGCAUACCAUCAGAUGUGCCCAGAUGGUAGUAGCUUUUUGGUGGGGUAAAGGCCUACCAAGGCGACGAUCCGUAACUGCUCUGAGAGGAUGAUCAGUCACACUGGAACUUGGACACGGUCCAUACUCCUACGGGAGGCAGCAGUGGGGAAUAUUGGACAAGUGGCGAAAGCCUGAUCCCGACAUGCCGCGUGUGUGAAGAAGUUCUUCGGAUUGUAAAGCACUUUAAGUUGGGAGGCGUGAAAAAAAGAAUAAGCACCGGCUAACUUCGUGCCAGCAGAAGCGGUAAUAG